GGGAGAGAAUCGGCUCCUCCCCCUUCUCUCUUUUUCUUCCUUCUUCUUUUCGUCCUUCUUCUUUCUUUUUUGGUUGCUCACACUUCUUUCCACUCCCCUCCACAAACCAACAGCUGCGACCUCCCACCAGCCACUUUUCCGGCCAGUUUUGGUCACCGGCCAACCACCUUUUCCGCCCAACAUUCAUGCAAGCCUUUAGUUCACUCAUUAUCAAGGUGCAAUUGAAGGAGUCUACACUUGGAUUCUAUUGUUGAUUGGAGUAGCAAGCUUGAGUAGGUGAAGUUCAAGAACUUGGAAAGUUUUGGGUAAGAGAAGGAUGGGCUUACCGAAUAAUAGGUAGAUUGAGGCUGGAGAAUUCAAGGUUGAGUAUUGGUUUACAUAGCUAAUUUUGGGGAGUGCAAGGUAGGGAAAUUCUACCCUUUGCUAUUCUCUUUGAAUAUGUCUUCCUAUUAGGAAUAUUUAUCUUUUCUCGUUGUUCAUUAUGAUUUCAUUCUCGCCUUAAUUGCAUCUAAGGGAGACCAACCCCACUUUGUGAUUUCUUCGUUGUAUGACUUGAGUUAUAUUGCAUACCCUACUUGUUCAAUCUUCCAUUGAGCA
This is a long non-coding RNA of Tripterygium wilfordii, 597 nucleotides long. RefSeq lists it as uncharacterized. The transcript is spliced from 4 exons. The record is from RefSeq and is a predicted model, not a curated record. Lineage: Eukaryota; Viridiplantae; Streptophyta; Magnoliopsida; Celastrales; Celastraceae.